GCAAGGACAUGCGCCUAUAUAUUGCUCUCGUUGUCAAAAUGGCAAACCUCCAUGUUGCCAUCACUGUUCUGUCUUGGUUUGGAGACGCUGAGAAGCUCACCAAAGCCCUUUUCUCGUUUGCAAGUCGGCUAGCUCCUGUUAUCAUAUUUGUGGAUGAGGUUGACAGCUUACUUGGUGCAAGGGGUGGUCCAAUGGAACAUGAAGCAACGAGAAGGAUGCA
Long non-coding RNA from Hordeum vulgare subsp. vulgare (domesticated barley), 220 nucleotides. RefSeq lists it as uncharacterized. The record is from RefSeq and is a predicted model, not a curated record. The transcript has 3 exons. Lineage: Eukaryota; Viridiplantae; Streptophyta; Magnoliopsida; Poales; Poaceae.